Mirounga angustirostris (Northern elephant seal) is the source of this 872-nucleotide long non-coding RNA. RefSeq lists it as uncharacterized. NCBI's taxonomy places the organism in Eukaryota, Metazoa, Chordata, Mammalia, Carnivora, Phocidae. The record is from RefSeq and is a predicted model, not a curated record. The transcript has 3 exons.
GAUUGAAGUGAAUUCUCCUUCUUUCAUCAACAGAGCUGAAGUUGAUUGGGCAUUCGGAAGCAGUCACUGAAAGGAAGUACUUAGAAGACCCAUGGCAAUGACCCAUGAGCAAAACUUCUCUACUUCCUCUGGACACCCAUUCUCCUGUUGACUGCACAGCUUCUCCUGCAGAGUUCACUCUGUAGAUGAAAAUGGUCAUUAGGAGGGAGCAGUGGCAGGUCUUGGCCCUGAAGUGUCCCAGAGGAGUGAGGUCUGGUAAGUGAAGCCAGUGGACAUUUCCAUUGCCAAGGCUACUGAUGUUUGCACAAAGCAACAUGAAGAAACACGGAGAAAACUCUGCAGUCCAAGGCCUGGGGUACCACAUGGGAAAGGGCAGCCUUGGUUUGCUCUCCCAUCCCCCAAAAUACCUCCUGCCUCAACAGAGAAUGGGCCAGGUGAUGGGCUGUUCAUCUUUCCUCUGAAGAAGCACCCAACCUUUUGGAUUUCAUUGAGACAAGAGAAGAGAGGCACAAUGAGAUGAGGACACAGGCCAAAGACCCAGAGGGCCUGGGCCCACCUAGUUCUCAAAUAGGAAGUGAAGAAUACCCAGAGAGACCACCCUGCAGAACUCUAAGGGACGAGACACACACAGAAAAAGACCCUGAGCUCCUAGAGGGAGAACCCGGGUGGCUGAGAAGCACCUGCCUCAUCUGAGUGCUCAGGGCACAGCGGCUGAUGAACAGGCCAGAGGAUCCAUCCCACCACCGACCAGCUCAAUUGUUGGAGCCUAAUUGAUUUGGGUCCUUUGGAAGUGCUUUUGUUUUCUUUUGUUUUGUGUUUUAAAUAAACUCUGUGUUCGAUGUGGGGCUCAAACUCACCACCCCGAGAUCCAG